RNAcentral lists this ribosomal RNA (301 nucleotides) under uncultured bacterium. RNAcentral's name for it is "partial 16S ribosomal RNA". It matches the Rfam family "Bacterial small subunit ribosomal RNA", at positions 509 to 807 of the family's 1533-position model. The record is from RNAcentral.
CAGUAGCCACGGGAAUACGAAGGGUGCAAGCGUUAAUCGGAAUUACUGGGCGUAAAGCGUGCGUAGGCGGUUUGUUAAGUCUGCUGUGAAAUCCCCGGGCUCAACCUGGGAAUGGCAGUGGAUACUGGCAAGCUAGAGUGUGUCAGAGGAUGGUGGAAUUCCCGGUGUAGCGGUGAAAUGCGUAGAGAUCGGGAGGAACAUCAGUGGCGAAAGCGAGGUCCUGGACCCUUUCUGACGCUGAGACGCGAAAGCCAGGGGAGCGAACGGGAUUAGAUACCCCUGUAGUCCCUGUCUCUUAUAC